CACGUAGGGCGCAAGCGUUGUCCGGAAUUAUUGGGCGUAAAGAGCUCGUAGGCGGUCUGUUGCGUCCGCUGUGAAAACUCGGGGCUUAACCCCGAGCCUGCAGUGGAUACGGGCAGACUAGAGGUAGGUAGGGGAGAAUGGAAUUCCCGGUGUAGCGGUGAAAUGCGCAGAUAUCAGGAGGAACACCGGUGGCGAAGGCGGGUCUCUGGGCCGAUACUGACGCUGAGGAGCGAAAGCGUGGGGAGCGAGCAGG
This 253-nucleotide ribosomal RNA is filed under the name uncultured bacterium. RNAcentral's name for it is "partial 16S ribosomal RNA". It matches the Rfam family "Bacterial small subunit ribosomal RNA", at positions 524 to 776 of the family's 1533-position model. The record is from RNAcentral.